CUCCACGUUGCAUGGCUGGUCAUAAUCCUGUCUGCAAUUCUUCAUGAGCAGCAACUUUCAGUGAGGUUGAAGAGUAAUGUAAAUAUCUAGAGUUUCAGAAGCCAGGGCUGUACUGUGGAACACAUUCCAUCUAGAUUAUCCCUGACUUGCAUUGAAGGAGAAUCAAUGACAGUUUUUUCAAGAAAAAACAAUUUCCCACAAUUUUUCAGAGACUUGCAGGAACUACUUUUGGAAAACAGCAAUCAAGGUAUUCAGUCUUCAUCCUCUUAUUUGCAGAGAUAGUUUCCUUACUAUGUCAUAUCUAUAUGAAAUUACUAUAUGGGGCUUUCACAAUUGUUCUGCUCCUGGAAAGGUCACACUGGGCUGGCUUGCAUAGCAUGAGGAACAAACUUCAAGGGAUUCACUGAAGGACUUUCACUUGAAAAAAUUUUGCAAGUAUUAUCACAUUGGGGAUGGCCUUCUCUAAGGAACAGGAUCUGAGGUUUUAAGGCGGGAGGUGCCAGGUAAGGUUGAUACUCUUAAUCUUUAUGGGUGGAAAAAUAGCUGCCUAGGUUAUCUGCCAGAGAAACUCUUGGAAAGGAGUUGUUAUGAUUGAUCAGCCACAGGAAAUGCUUCCUGCAGUGUUCUGGGGCAAAACUAUGAGAGAGGAAACGUCUGACUCUGACACUCUUAUGGCAUGGACCACACUGGAACAGCUGGGGCUUCUUAUUUUGCUGGCUGAACUGAUGCCUAAAGAGGCUGACCUGGAACAGAGGCUAGACAGAGUUAAAGGAACAAAGCAGGUAUUUGUUAAAAGACCUUUAAAGGAUGCACCUGGAGCAGUUCAAGAGCCCAGCCAUGGCUCCACCCAAGAUGGACCCAAGAUGGACCCAAGAUGGACAACUGGUCAUGAGUUUUCAAACGUUUUAAAGUUUUGGGCCAUUUACAUAUUGGGCUUAAUUGUCCAAUUCCUGCUUCAGGUUAUGAAGUCCCAUCCUCCCAGACUGCUCUCAUCAAUUUGCUGUUGUUUAUACCUUUUGGGCCUGAGGCUGCAAUGGUGUCCUUGGUUCCCAAGCUGGAAAAGGAUUGUUUGGUCUAACUGA
This 1082-nucleotide long non-coding RNA is filed under the name Taeniopygia guttata (zebra finch). RNAcentral's name for it is "lncRNA (ENSTGUG00000023643.1)". Lineage: Eukaryota; Metazoa; Chordata; Aves; Passeriformes; Estrildidae. The record is from RNAcentral.